CCUACGAGUGGCAGCAGUGAGGAAUAUUGGUCAAUGGGCGCGAGCCUGAACCAGCCAAGUAGCGUGAAGGAUGACUGCCCUACGGGUUGUAAACUUCUUCUAUAAAGGAAUCAAGUGUGGCUCUUGUGCCUUUUUGUAUUUACUUUAUGUAUAAAGAUCGCUUAACUCCGUCCCAGCAGCCGCGGUAAUAUGGAAGAUCCGAGCGUUAUCCUGAUUUAUUGGGUUUAAAGGGAGCGUAGGUGGGUUGUUAAGUCAGUUGUGAAAGUUUGCGGCUCAACCUGAAAAUUGCAAUUGAUACUGGCAGUCUAGAGUACAGUUGAGGUAGGCAGAAUUCGUGGUGUAGCGGUGAAAUGCUUAGAGAUCACGAAGAACUCCGAUGGCGAAGGCAGCUUACUAAACUGCCACUGACAUUGAUGCUCGAAAGUGUGGGUAGCAAACAGGAUUAGAUACCCCAGUAGUC
This 460-nucleotide ribosomal RNA is filed under the name uncultured bacterium. Its description in RNAcentral is "partial 16S ribosomal RNA". It matches the Rfam family "Bacterial small subunit ribosomal RNA", at positions 338 to 795 of the family's 1533-position model. The record is from RNAcentral.